RNAcentral lists this non-coding RNA (32 nucleotides) under Homo sapiens (human). The record is from RNAcentral. Lineage: Eukaryota; Metazoa; Chordata; Mammalia; Primates; Hominidae.
UGGCACACCCUGGGUGUCUGCAUGGGGGUUGC